Molecule: long non-coding RNA, 645 nt
Organism: Hypanus sabinus (Atlantic stingray)
Lineage: Eukaryota; Metazoa; Chordata; Chondrichthyes; Myliobatiformes; Dasyatidae
Exons: 3
Source: RefSeq, a predicted model, not a curated record
ACUGAGUCUACCCAGGACAACGGGGCACAAUUGCGAGCAUCCUGACUGGCUGCAUCACUGCCUGGUAUGGGAAUUGUAAUUACCUCAAUCACAGGACUCUGCAGAGAGUGGUGCGGACACCCCAGCGCAUCUGUAGAUGUGAACUUCCCACUAUUCAGGACAUUUACAAAGACAGGCAUUGCCUUACUUAUUUAAACCCUUCUACCGGGGCAUAGGCCACCAACAGUAUCUCGCCAGAGUCGUCUGUCCUGGACCAGUCUUUCAUAUCAUCUCCUGGGUGUAGCCCAUCUUCUUGGUGAUGAGGGAUGAGGGUUUGGAGCUGUUGUUGGUAUUUUAGUGGAACUGGAUUUUUACAGGAUGGGGUCACUAAGCCCCAUGCUCAACCCUCCUCCUUUUGGGACUGUCCAUGAUGGAGUUACAGGCAAUGCCUAUUCCAUUCAAUCUGUUGUGUUACUGAUUUCCAGCUUUGGCAAUUUUUGUUUAGGUUACUAAUUGAAUUUUGUGAAUGAAACUAAUAUUUUAAUAUUUGCUUUGCAAAUGUCUUAUAUUCUAGAGAGAGAUAAUGCAGAUACAGAAUGCUUUUUUAUGUGUUCAUAAACCUUUGGUUUUUCUUAAAUUACUGAGAAAUCAGAUGUUAUUAUCCUG